AACGCGUGGAUAAUCUACCCUUCAGUUGGGAAUAACUCAUCGAAAGGUGAGCUAAUACCGAAUAACACUGCCUGACCACGGUCAGGUAGUCAAAGAUAGCCUCUGCUUGCAAGCUUUCGCUGAAAGAUGAGUCCGCGUACCAUUAGCUAGUUGGUGGGGUAAUGGCCUACCAAGGCGACGAUGGUUAGCUGGUCUGAGAGGAUGAUCAGCCACACUGGAACUGAGACACGGUCCAGACUCCUACGGGAGGCAGCAGUGAGGAAUCUUGCGCAAUGGGGGAAACCCUGACGCAGCAACGCCGCGUGAGUGAGGAAGGUCUUCGGAUCGUAAAGCUCUGUCGGGUGGAAAGAAAUGUAUGGGGUUAAUAGCCUUCAUACUUGACGGUACCACCAAAGGAAGCACCGGCUAACUCCGUGCCA
Molecule: ribosomal RNA, 419 nt
Filed under: uncultured Syntrophaceae bacterium
Lineage: Bacteria; Pseudomonadati; Thermodesulfobacteriota; Syntrophia; Syntrophales; Syntrophaceae
Description: bacterial SSU rRNA
Rfam family: Bacterial small subunit ribosomal RNA
Source: RNAcentral